This is a long non-coding RNA of Rhineura floridana, 3542 nucleotides long. RefSeq lists it as uncharacterized. NCBI's taxonomy places the organism in Eukaryota, Metazoa, Chordata, Lepidosauria, Squamata, Rhineuridae. The transcript has 4 exons. The record is from RefSeq and is a predicted model, not a curated record.
AUCCUGCGCGGCGUCUCCUUGGGGGAGCGGCCUGAGCGGGACCCCACCCAAAUAGACAACCCGGGAGCGGGGGAGGGGGUCUCGAUCGGCCUCUCUCCCUCCCUCCCACCUACCCAGCCCACAAACAAGUCCCUUACCUCCCCCGCCCCUCUAAGCCCAACCAGCGAGGCCGGCCGGCCUUCCACGCACCAGCCCCGCCAGGCCUGGACACCCAUUUCCCUCCAACUCGCCACUUCACUAACGACCAGGCAGGUCUUCAAAAGCCCUGAAAUGAAACAGGCUAGUGAAACAAUCAUGAAACCAUUUUUCACCAUGGCAUAUAGAAGCAGUAACCAAAAUUGUGUCCUCUAGAUGGUUGUACUACAGCCAUCUAGCAUGCCAAUGGUCAAGCACUCUCCAUGCUUGCGAUUCCCAGCAACUGGUAGCCAGUUCUUCAUCACUUCUUUCAACCUGUAUAGUAGACCAACUGGAUAAGAUUGCACAGAAGCUUGAAGUUUGGUGGAGGGCAUUGUGAUGUUCCUGUAUUAAUGUAAAUAUGCCAGGUACAGGACAACAUACCAUUGUCAAAUAAACAAGUUGCUGUUAACAGCCAUUCUGAAGAAGCAUUCUGGUGAAUUUGGGAGCAUGCUGAUUGCUCAGCAAGAUGCAAUGUAAUAUUGUGCCUCUUGAGGAGGAAAGUCCAGCAACACAAGCCUCUUUUGUAAAAGAUCCCUAUCCUAAUAAAGCCCUGUUGGACCUGCAGCUCAAUCCAGCAGGACGAUUUUCUCUCCGUUUUAUAACACUUUGUAAUCACAUGCAAUAAGCUUCAUAGUUUCCUCAUCUGAGUGCCAGACCAGCCUUUCUGGGAACUGCAUUCAACAGCAGUGAGCCACCACAGAGAAUGUCCUCUCUUCAGUCACCACCCAAUUCACCGCAGAAGGCAGAGGCACCUGAAGGAGAAAGCCUCUAAAGCCAAUUUCAUUCCACAGGCAAGCUGACCUGCAAAAAGCAUCCAGCUCCCAAACCUGUAGGGUUUUAAAUGGCAAGCACGAGCACUUUGAAUCUUGCUUCAAAAUGAUCCAGGAGCCAGUGAAACAGUUUAAGCACCAUCAAGAUGUUUUCAUGACCGCUGGGCCUGGUGGGAAAACUAGAAGCUGUGUUAAGCAAAUAUGGCUAGGUGCUUCAUAAAUGACAGAGAAGUCACGCUUUGGAAUUAUAUGACCUUGCUCCCUUCCAAGUUCCACCUUCCGUCACUCCUCUGCUGCGAAGACUCAGAUCCUGUUUUGUGCAAACAAUAGUUUGCUGGUUCAGCCAUAACUGCAAAUGUGCUAAAUGGGAAGUGAGGGAGGGACUGAGCUGAGGAGCCCAAGACUGACCAGUUACAAAACCAUUGUUUGACAUUACAUAUGAACUGAGCCAUGUCUGUUCGCUUCACAUGUAGUUACAAGAACAGAUGUGUUGCAUACAGAAGGUAUCAGAUACAGUCCCCAGGAUCUAUAGAAAGGGCUGAGAAAGACCACCUAAAGCCCCAGAGAGCUGCUGCCAGUCAGUAUAGCCAAAUGGGGAACCUUUUUCAGCAUGAUGGCCGUAUUUCUUUGUGGGCAAUUUUCUGGGAGCUGUGUAGCAGGUGGAACCACAGACAGAAGUUGAGCAGGCCAACCAAUUUGACUAUUACCUUUCCAUAGUAAGCCGUAUUCCAGCCAUGCAGAAGCCAAGAGGUUUCUUCUAUUUACCACCCACUCUUCUCCACCUACUCAAGCAAGAGGUAUCACUACCACAGUUAAAUGAGAUUCCCGACAGACAAAAGCACCCAAAGAGGGCAAGUGGCUGGAAGAAUCCCAAGGACGGAGGGGGGGGGGAGAGAGCGCACCCUGGACGAGGGCAGAGUCCACCUACAGGUAGGAGGGUCCUUGCCCCCUUGCUUAGGCAGUAGUCAAUUAGACUGACCAAUAACCUGACUCUACAGCUGCCUGUGUUUCUAGCUGUUAGAAUUCCAAGGAAGGAAACAGCACACCUUUUCACCCACAAGCCUGCCCUUCAUUGUACCUCCUUCUGCAUUAUGGUAGAUAUUGGUAAGCCUGCUAUCCAAGGGAAACACGUACUCAAAGGCGACUGUGCAUAAUUUAUCCAGUUUAAUGAAGUCCUGUUGCAGAUGUUACAGCAGAGUUCCCCUUUUUAGGAAGUACAUAGCUACGGGUGUUGCUAGUGUCAGUCAAACCCCAGCCUAUCCGAAUAAAUACAACUGCUCUCAGCUCAGCUGGGUAAAAGGCUUGGCAGAUUUAAGAGUGUUCCUACACAACACAAAAGUGGCAUAUUUUCAAUUACGACCUCAAGCAACUCCCCUCAAUUUCUAAGAGGUUUGGACUACAAACUAAAAAAAAAUUCAGAGGAAAUACAAUGCUUCUCCAGAAAGAAUCCAGAUCUUGAUGCAAGUGGAAUGUGAGAACAAGUCCCUAAACUGGGAUAAUAAUGCCACUGAGGAGUGUCUGGGCUUGCUGUGAUCUCAUCAUAGUAGCUUUCUAACAGAUUCCCUGAUAAAUAACCCCUUUCAAACAAUUACUUUUGGUGCCCUCAGAUUCAUUUUUAUAUACUUGGAUUUAGUAGUUUGUAAACUGUACUCUCUGCCUAGAUGAAAAUCUCCCAUCACGCACACACCAAUAUUGCACUCUGCUCAUCCUAGCUUCAGAGGAAUGAGGGAAAGAGAAAAGGAGAAGAACCUAUGAGGACAGAGCAUAUAACAAAGCAAGAGGAACCAGUGCAAAAAUAGGAUUGUUUCAAAAAAAAUAAGCAGAGUAGUUUUUCUAUAGGAGACAGAGACACUGACCAUUUAGCUUUUAAAAUGACCAGAGUCCCUCUAUAAUGCAUGUGCACAAAACUUUUUCUUUAAAAAAGGAUACAUUUUUGCUACAAAAUUUGAUCAGAAAAAGAAAAAAGCUCAGCAAACAAUGUGUCAGUUGCUAGUACAUUUGGUGUACUUAGACAAGUCUGAUAAAAAUCUGGUAUUACAUAUAGCCUGUGGCAAACUGCAUCAAGUGAACUUGGUAGGCCUAUAUUAAAUUGGGGAUACAUUUUUUUCCUUUUCAAAGCAAAAAAUACAUGUGCUGGUGGUAGCCUGAAUAGAUUUUUUUUUUAAAAAAACUACAAUACUCAAGGUACCCUACAAAAUUAGCAGAAUGCCACCAAUACCAACAUCUUAUCCUCUGACUCUGGUUCGUUCAGUGCGGGACAGUGUUCAUUAGUAUACCUGCUCCUAUACAAAGUGUACACUUUUUAAAAAUCAUCAGGGCCUUAACUUGUUCUACCCCUUUGCGCACCUGCAACGCUUACCACUAAGUGUAGCGUGCCCAGAAGGCACUGGUGCUUAUCAGGCAAACAAGUAACAUUUCACAUUGCCAAAGCAUGACCCACACAAGCCUACACAUGCACAGCUAUCUUAGAUUAUGAAGGGGCAUUAGAGCAGCCGUGCUCAGGUAGCAAGUAGAAGAGACUGGAUGUAUGCUUAAAAUGCAGGUGCUAGAAGGGGUUAGAAAAUCCCCCAGGUUCGUUUAAGCCACCUCCCCUUU